GCUUGCUAGUAGUGUCAGCUAAGUGGCGCACGGNUGAGUAAUGUAUAGCUAACAUGCCCCNUAUAGGGGGAUAACAGUUGGAAACGACUGCUAAUACCCCAUAUGCCUCUAAUACAUAAGUNUGCGANGGAAAUGAUUUUUCNNUAANGGAUUGGGCUAUAUCGUAUCAGCUAGUUGGUGAGGUAAAGGCUCACCAAGGCUAUGACGCGUAGCUGGUCUGAGAGGAUGAUCAGCCACACUGGAACUGAGACACGGUCCANACUCCUACNGGAGGCAGCAGUGAGGAAUAUUGCACAAUGGGGGAAACCCUGAUGCAGCAACNCCGCGUGGAGGAUGACNCAUNUCNGUGUGUAAACUCAUUUUAUUAGGGAAGAUAAUGACGGU
Molecule: ribosomal RNA, 384 nt
Filed under: uncultured bacterium
Lineage: Bacteria
Description: partial 16S ribosomal RNA
Rfam family: Bacterial small subunit ribosomal RNA
Source: RNAcentral